RNAcentral lists this ribosomal RNA (252 nucleotides) under uncultured bacterium. Its description in RNAcentral is "partial 16S ribosomal RNA". It matches the Rfam family "Bacterial small subunit ribosomal RNA", at positions 524 to 776 of the family's 1533-position model. The record is from RNAcentral.
UACGGAGGAUGCGAGCGUUACCCGGAUUUAUUGGGUUUAAAGGGUGCGUAGGCGGAAUAUCAAGUCAGCGGUAAAAAUUCGGGGCUCAACCCCGUCGUGCCGUUGAAACUGAUGUUCUUGAGUGGGCGAGAAGUAUGCGGAAUGCGUGGUGUAGCGGUGAAAUGCAUAGAUAUCACGCAGAACUCCGAUUGCGAAGGCAGCAUACCGGCGCCCAACUGACGCUGAAGCACGAAAGCGUGGGUAUCGAACAGG